GAAAUAGAGACCGGACACCGACGAGCCCGGCCACAUCGCAAAGCUCUCGGUCAGUGUCACGCCCGCGGUGCGCUCCGCAUCGAGCAGCCUGAACAGCGUCGCCUUCUCGGUGUGAUCGGGCUGGGCCGGAUAACCCGGCGCCGGGCGGAUGCCCGCAUACUGUUCNNGAUCAGUUCGUCGGUCGCGAGCGCCUCGUCCGGCGCAUAGCCCCAGAACUCCUUGCGCACG
RNAcentral lists this unclassified non-coding RNA (228 nucleotides) under Hevea brasiliensis (rubber tree). Lineage: Eukaryota; Viridiplantae; Streptophyta; Magnoliopsida; Malpighiales; Euphorbiaceae. The record is from RNAcentral.